GGAUGGAUAGUUAAGCAAUUAUACCGCGAAACUGCGAAUGGCUCAUUAUAUAAGUUAUCGUUUAUUUGAUAAUACUUUACUACUUGGAUAACCGUGGUAAUUCUAGAGCUAAUACAUGCUAAAAAUCCCGACUUCGGAAGGGUUGUAUUUAUUAGAUUAAAAACCAAUGCCCCUCGGGGCUCUCUGGUGAAUCAUGAUAACUAGUCGAAUCGACAGGCCUUGUGCCGGCGAUGGCUCAUUCAAAUUUCUUCCCUAUCAACUUUCGAUGUUUGGGUCUUGUCCAAACAUGGUGGCAACGGGUAACGGAGGGUUAGGGCUCGACCCCGGAGAAGGAGCCUGAGAAACGGCUACUACAUCCAAGGAAGGCAGCAGGCGCGCAAAUUACCCAAUCCCGACACGGGGAGGUAGUGACAAUAAAUACUGAUACAGGGCUCUUUUGGGUCUUGUAAUCGGAAUGAGUACAAUUUAAAUCCCUUAACGAGGAACAAUUGGAGGGCAAGUCUGGUGCCAGCAGCCGCGGUAAUUCCAGCUCCAAUAGCGUAUAUUAAAGUUGUUGUGGUUAAAAAGAUCGUAGUUGAACCUUGGGCCUGGG
This 592-nucleotide ribosomal RNA is filed under the name Trichoderma asperellum. RNAcentral describes it as "SSU rRNA". It matches the Rfam family "Eukaryotic small subunit ribosomal RNA", at positions 62 to 651 of the family's 1831-position model. Lineage: Eukaryota; Fungi; Ascomycota; Sordariomycetes; Hypocreales; Hypocreaceae. The record is from RNAcentral.